Molecule: ribosomal RNA, 264 nt
Filed under: uncultured bacterium
Lineage: Bacteria
Description: partial 16S ribosomal RNA
Rfam family: Bacterial small subunit ribosomal RNA
Source: RNAcentral
UCUUAGUGGCGGACGGGUGAGUAACGCGUGGGGAACCUGCCCUGUACAGGGGGAUAACACUUAGAAAUAGGUGCUAAUACCGCAUAAGCGCACAGGGCCGCAUGGCCCGGUGUGAAAAACUCCGGUGGUGUAAGAUGGACCCGCGUCUGAUUAGCUUGUUGGCGGGGUAGAGGCCCACCAAGGCGACGAUCAGUAGCCGGCCUGAGAGGGUGGACGGCCACAUUGGGACUGAGACACGGCCCAAACUCCUACGGAAGGCAGCAG